This 250-nucleotide ribosomal RNA is filed under the name uncultured bacterium. Its description in RNAcentral is "partial 16S ribosomal RNA". It matches the Rfam family "Bacterial small subunit ribosomal RNA", at positions 524 to 773 of the family's 1533-position model. The record is from RNAcentral.
UACAGAGGGUGCAAGCGUUAAUCGGAAUUACUGGGCGUAAAGGGUGCGUAGGUGGUUUGAUAAGUUGGGUGUGAAAGUCCUGGGCUUAACCUGGGGAUUGCGCUUAAUACUGUUGAGCUAGAGUACUGUAGAGGAAGGUGGAAUUUCCGGUGUAGCGGUGAAAUGCGUAGAUAUCGGAAGGAACAUCAGUGGCGAAGGCGACUUUCUGGACAGAUACUGACACUGAGGCACGAAAGCAUGGGGAGCAAAC